RNAcentral lists this long non-coding RNA (4212 nucleotides) under Homo sapiens (human). RNAcentral describes it as "HSALNT0246685". The record is from RNAcentral. Lineage: Eukaryota; Metazoa; Chordata; Mammalia; Primates; Hominidae.
AGGCUGAACCUAGACAAGGGUUACAUCACUUAGGUGAUCAGUGUAGAGGUAUGUGAAAAUUCCCGUGUAGACAGAGCCUAGACAAUUGUUACAUCACCUAGUGAUCAGUGCAGGGAUAAGUCAUAAAGCCUCCUGUAGGCAGAGCGUAGACAAGAGUUCCCUCCCCAGGGUGAUCAGUGCAGAGAUGUGUCACAAAGCCCCUGUAGGCAGAGCCUAGACAAGAGUUUCAUCACUUGGUUGAUCAGUUCAGAGAUGUGUCACAAUGUCCAUGUAGGCAGAUCUAAGACAAGGGUCCAUCACCUGGGUGAUCAGUGCAGAGAUAUGUACCAAUGUGCCCUGUAGGCAGUGCCUAGACAAGAGUUGAAUCACCUCAGAGAUCAGUGCAUAGAUAUGUCACAAAGCCUUCUGUAGGCAAAGCCCAUACAAGGUUUACAUCACCUAGGUGAUCAGUGCAGUGAUAUGUCACAAAAAUCCCUGUAGACAGAGCCUAGACAAGAGUUACAUCACCUGGGUGAUCAGUGCAGAUAUUUGACACAAUGCCCCCAUAGACAGAGCCUAGACAAGACUUCCAUCACCUGGGUGAUCAGUGCAGAGAUAUGUCACAAAUCCCCCUCUAGGCAGAGUAUAGAGAAGAGUCCCAUCACCUGGGUGAUCAGUGCAGAGAUAUUUCACAAUGCCCCCUGUAGGCAGAGAGUGGACAAAAGUUACAUAACCUAGAUGAUCUGUGCAGAGCUAUGUCAAAACGCCCCUGUAGGCAGAGCCUAGAUGAGUGUUACAUCACCUGGGUGAUCACUGCAGAGAUACGUCACAAUACCCCCUGUAGGUGGGGCCUAGACAAGAGUUACAUCACCUGGGUGAUCAGUGGAGAUAUCUGUCACAAUUCGCCUUUAGGCGCAGCUUAGACAAGCGUUACAUCACAUGAGUGAUCAGUGCAGAGAUAUGUCACUAUGCCCCCAUAGGCAGAUCCAAGACAAGAGUCCAUCACCUGGGUGAUCAUUGCAGGGAUAUGUCACAAAGCACCCUGUAGGCAGAUCCUAGAGAAGAGUUAUAUCACCUGGGUGAUCAGUGCAGAGAUAUGUCACAAGCCCCCUGUAGGCAGAGCCUAGACAAGAGUUAUAUCACCUGGGUGAUCAGUGCAGUCAUAUGUCACAAUGCUGUGUAGCCAGAGCCUAGACAAAAGUUACAGCACCUGGGAGAUCAGUGCAGAGAUAUGUCACAAUGUCCCCAGUAGGCAGAGACCAGGCAAGAGUUGGAUCACCUCGGGAUCAGUGCAGAGAUAUGUCUCAAUCCCCCUGUGGGCACAGCCUAGACAAGAGUUACAUCACCUCGGUUAACAGUGCAGAGAUAUGUCAAAAUGCCCCUGUAGGCAGAGCCUACACAAGUAUUACAUCACUUAGGUGAUCAGUGCAGAGAUAUGUCACAAUACCCCCUGUAAGCAGAGCCUAGACAAGAGUUACAUCACCUGGGUGAUCAGUGCAGACAUAUGUGACAAGGCCCCUUUAAGCAGAGCCUAGACAAUAGUUACAUCACCUGAGUGAUCAGUGCAGAGAUCUGUCACAAUGCCCCUUUAGGCAGAGCUUAGACCAGAGUUACAUCACCUGGGUGAUCAGUGCAGAGGUAUGUCACAUUGCCCCCAUAGGCAAAUCCAAGACAAGAGUCAGUCACCUGGGUGAUCACUGCAGAAAUAUGUGACAAUGCCCCCAGUAGGCAGAACCUAGAGAAGAGUCCCUUCACCUGGGUGAUCAGUGCAGAGUUAUGCCACAAUGCCCCCUGUAGGCAGAGCCUAGACAAGAGUUACAUCAUCUGGUUGAUCAGUAAAGAGAUAUUUCUCAAUGCCCCUGCAGGCAGAGCGUAAGCAAGAGUUACAUCACCUAGAUGAUCAGUGCAGAGAUACGUCACAAGGCCCCCUAUAGGCAGAGCCUGGACAAGAGUUACAUCACCUCGGUGAUCAAUGCAGUGAUAUGUCACUGUGCCCCGUAGGCAGAGCCUAGUCAAGCGUUACAUCACCUGGGUGAUCAGUGCAGAGAUAUGUCAGAAAGCCCCCAUACACAGAGCCUAGACAAGAGUCCCAUCACCUGGGUGAUCAGUGCAGAAAUAUGUCACAAUGCCCCUAUAGGCAGAUCCAACACAAGUGUUACAUCACCUGGGUGAUCAGUGCAGAAAUAUGUCUCAAUGCCCCCAUAGGCAGAUCCAACACAAGAGUUACAUCACCUGGGUGAUCAGUGUAGAGAUAUGUCACAAUGCCCCCGUAGACAGAGCCUAGACAAAAGUCCCAUCACCUGGGUGAUCAGUGCAGAGAUAUGUCACAAAGCCCCUGUAGGCAGAGCCUAGACAAGAGUUACAUCACUUUGUUGAUCAGUUCAGAGAUGUGUCACAAUGCCCAUGUAGGCAGAGCCUAGACAAGUGUUCCAUCACCUGGGUGAUCAGUGCAGAGAUAUGUGACAAGGCCCCUUUAAGCAGAGCCUAGACAAUAGUUACAUCACCUGAGUGAUCAAUGCAGUGAUAUGUCACUAUGCCCCAGUAGGCAGAGCCUAGUCAAGCGUUACAUCACCUGAGUGAUCAGUGCAGAGAUAUGUCACAAAGCCCCCAUACACAGAGCCUAGACAACAGUCCCAUCCCCUGGGUGAUCAGUGCAGAAAUAUGUCACAAUGCCCCCAUAGGCAGAUCCAACACAAGAGUUACAUCACCUGGGUGAUCAGUGUAGAGAUAUGUCACAAUGCCCCCAUAGGCAGAGCGUAGACAAAAGUCCCAUCACCAGGGUGAUCAGUGCAGAGAUAUGUCACAAAGCCCCCAUAGGCAGAGCCUAGACAAGAGUUACAUCACUUGGUUGAUCAGUUCAGAGAUGUGUCACAAUGCCCAUGUAGGCAGAGCCUACACAAGUGUUACAUCACUUAGGUGAUCAGUGCAGAGCUAUGUCACAAUACCCCCGUAAGCAGAGCCUAGACAAGAGUUACAUCACCUGGUUGAUCAGUGCAGAGAUAUCUCACAAUGUCCCUGCAGGCAGAGUGUAGACAAGAGUUACAUCACCUAGAUGAUCAGUGCAGAGAUAUUUCACAAUGCCCCCUGUAGGCAGAGCCUAGACAAGAAUUAUAUUACCUGGAUGAUCAGUACGGUGAUAUGUCACUAUGCCCCCUGUGGGCGGAGCCUAGACAAGAGUUACAUCACCUGGGUGAUAAGGGCAGAGAUAUGUCACAAUGCUCCAGUAGGCAGAGCCUAGACAAGAGUCCUAUCACCUGGGUGAUCAGUGCAGAAAUAUGUCACAAUGCCCCCAGUAGACAGAGCCUAGACAAGAGUUACAUCACCUGGGUGAUCAGUGCAGAAAUAUGUUGCAAUGCCCCCAUAGGCAGAUCCAACACAAGAGUUACAUCACCUGGGUGAUCAGUGCAGAGAUAUGUAACAAUGCCCCCAGUAGGCAGAGCCUAGAGGAGAGUUACAUCAUCUGGGUGAUCUUUGCAGAGAUAUGUCACAAUCCUCCAAGUAAGCAGAGCCUAGACAAAAGUUACAUCAUCUGGGCGAUCAGUGCAGAGACAAGUCACAAAACCCACAUAGGAAAAGACUAGACAAGAGUUACAUCAUCUGGGUCAUCAGUGCAGACAUAUGUCAAAGCUGCCGUAGGCAGAGUGUAGACAAGUAUUACAUCACUUGGGUGAUCAGUGCAGAGAUCUAUCACAGUGCCCCCAUAGGCAGAGCCUAGACAAGAGUUCCAUCACCUGUGUGAUCAGUGUAGAGAUAUGUCACAAUGCCUCCUGUAGGCAGAGGCUAGACAAGAGUUACAUCACCUGGAUUUUGUUUCCUGCAAUAUGUCACAAUGGCGAGGGUGAGGGUUAGGGUUAGGGUGAGGGUCAGGGUGAGGGUCAGGGUGAGGGUCAGGGUGAGGGUGAGGGUCAGGGUGAGGGUGAGGGUUAGGGUUAGGGUGAGCAUUAGGUUUAGGGUUAGGGUUAGGGUUAGGGGUUAGGCUUAGGCUUAGGGUAAGGCUUAGGGUUCAGGUUCAAGUUUGGAUUCGGGUUCGGGUUCAGGUUAAGAGUUAGGGUUAGGGUUACGGGUUAGGGUUAGGGGUUAGGGUUAGGUGUUAGGGCUGGGUUAGGUUUAGGGUUAGGGUUAUGGGUUACGGUUAGGGUUAGGGUUUAGGGUUAGGGUUAGGGUUAGGAUUGGGGUUAGGUUUAGGGUUAGGGUUAGGGUUAGGUUUAGGGUUGGGUUAGGGUUAGGAUUGGG